Long non-coding RNA from Gossypium raimondii (Peruvian cotton), 1505 nucleotides. RefSeq lists it as uncharacterized. The record is from RefSeq and is a predicted model, not a curated record. The transcript is spliced from 4 exons. Lineage: Eukaryota; Viridiplantae; Streptophyta; Magnoliopsida; Malvales; Malvaceae.
UAGAAAAAGAAAGAAAAGAAACAGAAUAGAAGAGACGAAACAGAGAAAGAAACAGAGAGCAAAACGGGCAGAGAAGGAAGGAAAGAAAGAAAGAAAGAAAGAAAAAGAAAAAGGGGAAUUUAAGGUUUUAAGGUUCCAAGCUCAAUUGCUAAUGUCGUACACGAGUCAUUGUCCGAGAAAGGAAAGGGAAAGUGGACAAGAAGUGACUCGAGAGAAAUUCCGGGAGUUGUUGGCGCGAUAGGGAAUAGGCGGUACGGUGGCAGAGGGUAGGUGGUGCGGCUCCAGAGAUUAGGAGGCUAGGGUUUCUCUUUUUUUGUUUAGGUUGUGGGCUGUUAGGGUUAGAUUUAGGUGGGUUGGGAUUUGGGUCUUUAUUGGGCCAUCUGAUUUGGGUUUGUAAUUGGGUUAGUUUGGGUUUGUUUGCCUGGGCCGGGCGAAAUUGGGCUACUACAGCUGCCCCUCUUUACUCGUUGUUGUGUAACAAGAACAGAGCAAAGAGUAAGAAAGACCAAUUUUGCCCGGUCUCACCGAGUCUUGACUUCUUGGUGCCUUUCUUUUUCAGCAACUUCAGGGGGAUGAUGUUUGUGGUUCUAGUCUGCUCCACUGCUACGUCAGGGAGAUAAGAUUUGUAUCUUCAACCUGUUCCACUGUGACUUUAGGGAGAUAAGGUUUGAUCCAAUUCGACCUACUCCAACUUUAGAGGUAUAUGAUUCAUCGUUUUCAUCCACUCCACUGCAACUUCAGGGAGACACGAUUGAUAUUUUUCGUCUGGUCCACUGCAACCUCAGGGAGAUAAGACCUGAUGCGAUCUACUCUGCUGUAACUUCAGAGAGAUAAGAUCCUUUAUUUUAAUCCGCUCCACUGUAACUUCAGGGAGAUAGGAUAGUGUCUUCGAUUUGCUCCGCUGUAAUCUCAGGGAGAUAAGAUCUCUGGCUUCAAUCUGCUCCACUGUAAUCUCAGGGAGAUAAGAUCUGAAAUUCUUCAGUCUACUCCACUGUAACCUCAGGGAGAUAAGACCUGAUGCGAUCUACUGUACUGUAACUUCAGAGAGAUAAGAUCCUUUAUUUUAAUCCGCUCCACUAUAAUAUCAGGGAGAUUAAGAUUACUAUCUUCAAUCUGCUCCGCUGUAAUCUCAGGGAGAUAAGAUCUCUGGCUUCAAUCUGCUCCACUGUAACCUCAAGGAGAUAAGAUCUGAAAUUCUUCGGUCUACUCCACUGUAACCUCAGGGAGAUAAGACCUGAUGCGAUCUACUCUGCUGUAACUUCAGAGAGAUAAGAUCCUUUAUUUUAAUCCGCUCCAUUGUAACUUCAAGGAGAUAGGAUAGUGUCUUUGAUCUGCUCCGCUGUAAUCUCAGGGAGAUAAGAUCUCUGGCUUCAAUCUGCUCCACUGUAACCUCAAGGAGAUAAGAUCUAAAAUUCUUCGGUCUACUCCACUGUAACCUCAGGGAGAUAAGACCUAAUGCGAUCUACUCUACUGUAACUUCAGAGAGAGAAGAUCUUUUAUUUUAA